This 970-nucleotide long non-coding RNA is filed under the name Phasianus colchicus (ring-necked pheasant). RNAcentral's name for it is "lncRNA (ENSPCLG00000008621.1)". The record is from RNAcentral. Lineage: Eukaryota; Metazoa; Chordata; Aves; Galliformes; Phasianidae.
CAAGACUAAAUAUGUAAAAUGAGGCUUCAUCUUCCAUAAGGAAGAUAGGUGCCGUGGCCUAACGUGUACGUGUGUAUCCUGUCUAAGAGUCGCAACUCGUAAUUCUUACAUCUAGGUCCUCGUAACAGACAGAAAAGGAGGGGUUUGUGGGAUGAGGCGCAGGCAUGAAAGACACUGGUGGGAGACAAAAACGACAACUGGAUUACAGCUGCCUGCUGGGCAAAUUGCUGGCUGAAAGGACGUCGCUGCAUAUACAGAUGCCUCAGCAUCUACACUCACUGUAUGUGCGGUGUUUCAGAGUAGCUGAAGGAAAAUGGGAACCUGCAAUACUGGCAUUACAUCACAGGCAGUGGUUGGUCAUUGAUGUCAUCAUUCCUGUAGUUUGCCUGAUAUAUACAGCCUGCAGUGACUUACCUCCGAUCUACAAAGGCUGGCUCCUGGAGGUCUGCCUUCCAGUUAGCAGCGCCGGCGAGCAGCAGCACCUGUGUCUCCACGCCAGACAGCUGGCACGCUCCAUGCAUGCCACCGUGCACCAUCUGUGCCACACAUCACGUGCCAGUUACGUGACUGGGGAGAGUCAGGAGGAAGAAAAUGCGCUUGCAACUGCAUGGCAACUGCAUCUGACAGAACAAUAACUCAUGCCAGGUGACCUUGUCCAAACACAUGGCCUGAACUUCAAGGAACUAUACUGUUUUCGUAAUGGAUAUUGGAUUCAAAUCUUGCAAAGAUGCCUUUUGAAGAUGUACUGGUGAAAUAUGCACUUAAAAGUGGGAACUCUCCAUCCCAAAUCCAACAGGGAUAAGAAAUUUGAUAGAUUAGUUCACCUAAACGAUACUAACACAUUGUUUAUCUUCCUAGCCAUUGGGUUAAGAGCUGUUGUGCAUAACUUUCUUAACCUUAACCUCAUCUGCUCAUCUCUGGGGAAUCCAGACGAGUGCAAGGGAUAAACGAAAAUCAAUGCUGAGUUUGG